RNAcentral lists this ribosomal RNA (555 nucleotides) under uncultured bacterium. RNAcentral's name for it is "partial 16S ribosomal RNA". It matches the Rfam family "Bacterial small subunit ribosomal RNA", at positions 355 to 900 of the family's 1533-position model. The record is from RNAcentral.
UAGGGAAUCUUCCACAAUGGACGCAAGUCUGAUGGAGCAACGCCGCGUGAGUGAAGAAGGUUUUCGGACCGUAAAGCUCUGCUGUUGGUGAAGAAGGAUAGAGGUAGUAACUGGCCUUUAUUUGACGGUAAUCAACCAGAAAGUCACGGCUAACUACGUGCCAGCAGCCGCGGUAAUACGUAGGCGGCAAGCGUUGUCCGGAUUUAUUGGGCGUAAAGCGAGCGCAGGCGGAAGAAUAAGUCUGAUGUGAAAGCCCUCGGCUUAACCGAGGAAUUGCAUCGGAAACUGUUUUUCUUGAGUGCAGAAGAGGAGAGUAGAACUCCAUGUGUAGCGGUGGAAUGCGUAGAUAUAUGGAAGAAUACCAGUGGCGAAGGCGGCUCUCUGGUCUGCAACUGACGCUGAGGCUCGAAAGCAUGGGUAGCGAACAGGAUUAGAUACCCUGGUAGUCCAUGCCGUAAACGAUGAGUGCUAAGUGUUGGGAGGCUUCCGCCUCUCAGUGCUGCAGCUAACGCAUUAAGCACUCCGCCUGGGGGAGUACGACCGCAAGGUUGAAAC